UACGGAGGGUGCGAGCGUUGUCCGGAAUCACUGGGCGUAAAGGGCGCGUAGGUGGCGCGGGCAGUCAACGGUGAAAGUUCGGGGCUCAACCCUGAAUCGGCCGUCGAUACUCCCGUGCUGGAGCACUGUAGAGGCUAAUGGAAUUCCGGGUGUAGCGGUGGAAUGCGUAGAGAUCCGGAAGAACACCGGUGGCGAAGGCGGUUAGCUGGGCAGUUGCUGACACUGAGGCGCGACAGCGUGGGGAGCGAACAGG
RNAcentral lists this ribosomal RNA (253 nucleotides) under uncultured bacterium. RNAcentral describes it as "partial 16S ribosomal RNA". It matches the Rfam family "Bacterial small subunit ribosomal RNA", at positions 524 to 776 of the family's 1533-position model. The record is from RNAcentral.